UCCGCGCGGGGCGGGGCCGCGCCGGGCCCGGAGGCCGGCCCUCGGUCGAGCCGAGAGCCUGGGCGCGGGACAUGGGGCCCGGCGUCCCGCACGAGCUUCCCGCAGCCGCUGCGCGUUUGGUGCGCGGGCGCCCGCGGCGGAGCGCGGCCCUGCGGAGCUCGGUCGGCACCGCCGGUUCGCUCCCGCGGCCCCCGCGCAUCUGACGUGACCGCGGCCGCCACGGAGGGGAGGGACGGUCUGACAUCACGGCGCCCGGGCACCGCUACGCGCCUCGCGGACGGGCGUUGCAUCAACUUCCCGAGAGCGUUCCUUAAAUCGGUAACGAACGGAUUAGAAGCUGGGCAGUAGUUUGAGUGAGGGAGCCCUGGCCCGGGCUGCACUGGGAGGGUGUGGAGGCUCCUCGGGAGGUUUCCAAACCCGCCUGGACGCGUUCCUGUGCCCCUGAGCGAGGGGAACCUGCUGUAGCAGGGGCUGGGGCUGGAGCAGCUCCGGCUGGGGUGACAGGCAAUGAGCUGCCCUUCUGAUUCGCUCACAGUAAAGUACCCGAGUUGCAAUACAGAAAUAUCCAAUUGCCAGAGUCAUUCGGAAGCUUCCAAAGAGCAUCUGCAAAUUCCCACUCCUGGCAGCAGCAGACCAAAAUCAUCAGCGCUGGCUUGGACCUGAGAGCUGGCCAUGCAAACCACGCAUCAAUCCAGAACUGGCAGAGACUCGUUUCAGAUUUGUCCUGAAAACGACCAACAGAAGACUUCUUUCUAGGGGAUGGCUCCUUCUUCAAAUCAUACAAUUACAGAACCAUUUCAGCUGGAAGAGCACCUGUGAAAGAUUGUGGAUGAUUAACGUGUCAGAACUUUUGAUCACAUUUAUAAGAACGGUAAACAGUCUUCAGGACCCUUUAUGAGCACCCCAACAGCACAGAGACUAUCUUGGCAAAUACGAAGGAAAAUGGUAAUGUGUUGGUCCUGAACAGCAAUCUGAUAUGAAUGCUUGUACCCGCUGCCCCACGUAGAGCCAUUAACGAGUGCAGCGGGUGUGCAGAAGGCAACACUACCCUCAUCUGAACGCCUUCAUGACUGUCCAUGAGGGCAUUACCUGGAGAUGCGUGCUGACGAAUCCGUGUGGCACUUCUCGCAGGGCCUGAAGGUUGUGAAGGGGCAGGGGAGCAGCGCCUCCAGAUCACAGCCGGCACACACUCUCCUGUCAGAAUUAUCAACCCGACGAAGCUCAGCUGAGGAGCGGCUCCGUCGCUGCCACACCGCGGCCUGUGCCCGGGGCUGCGGGACACGGCCCGACA
Colius striatus (speckled mousebird) is the source of this 1291-nucleotide long non-coding RNA. RefSeq lists it as uncharacterized. The transcript has 4 exons. Lineage: Eukaryota; Metazoa; Chordata; Aves; Coliiformes; Coliidae. The record is from RefSeq and is a predicted model, not a curated record.